AGAGUUUGAUCCUGGCUCAGGAUGAACGCUGGCGGCGUGCCUAAUACAUGCAAGUCGAGCGAACAGACGAGGAGCUUGCUCCUCUGACGUUAGCGGCGGACGGGUGAGUAACACGUGGAUAACCUACCUAUAAGACUGGGAUAACUUCGGGAAACCGGAGCUAAUACCGGAUAAUAUAUUGAACCGCAUGGUUCAAUAGUGAAAGACGGUUUUGCUGUCACUUAUAGAUGGAUCCGCGCCGCAUUAGCUAGUUGGUAAGGUAACGGCUUACCAAGGCAACGAUGCGUAGCCGACCUGAGAGGGUGAUCGGCCACACUGGAACUGAGACACGGUCCAGACUCCUACGGGAGGCAGCAGUAGGGAAUCUUCCGCAAUGGGCGAAAGCCUGACGGAGCAACGCCGCGUGAGUGAUGAAGGUCUUCGGAUCGUAAAACUCUGUUAUUAGGGAAGAACAAAUGUGUAAGUAACUAUGCACGUCUUGACGGUACCUAAUCAGAAAGCCACGGCUAACUACGUGCCAGCAGCCGCGGUAAUACGUAGGUGGCAAGCGUUAUCCGGAAUUAUUGGGCGUAAAGCGCGCGUAGGCGGUUUUUUAAGUCUGAUGUGAAAGCCCACGGCUCAACCGUGGAGGGUCAUUGGAAACUGGAAAACUUGAGUGCAGAAGAGGAAAGUGGAAUUCCAUGUGUAGCGGUGAAAUGCGCAGAGAUAUGGAGGAACACCAGUGGCGAAGGCGACUUUCUGGUCUGUAACUGACGCUGAUGUGCGAAAGCGUGGGGAUCAAACAGGAUUAGAUACCCUGGUAGUCCACGCCGUAAACGAUGA
RNAcentral lists this ribosomal RNA (822 nucleotides) under uncultured bacterium. Its description in RNAcentral is "bacterial SSU rRNA". It matches the Rfam family "Bacterial small subunit ribosomal RNA", at positions 8 to 812 of the family's 1533-position model. The record is from RNAcentral.